GAUGAACGCUAGCGGCAGGCCUAACACAUGCAAGUCGAGGGGCAGCACAGAAACAGCAAUGUUUUGGUGGCGACCGGCGGACGGGUGCGUAACGCGUAUGCAACCUACCUUUAACAGGGGGAUAACGGAGAGAAAUUUCCACUAAUACCCCAUAACAUCGAUCAAGGCAUCUUGAUUGGUUGAAAACUCCGGUGGUGAAAGAUGGGCAUGCGUUGUAUUAGGUAGUUGGUGAGGUAAUGGCUCACCAAGCCUACGAUACAUAUGGGGACUGAGAGGUUAGCCCCCCACACUGGUAAUAAGACACGGCCCAGACUCCUACGGGAGGCAGCAGUGAGGAAUAUUGGUCAAUGAGGGCAACCCUGAACCAGCCAUGCGGCGUGCAGGAAGACGGCUCUAUGAGUUGUAAACUGCUUUUAAACAGGGAUAAAGCACAGUAUGUAUACUGUGUUGAAGGUACUGUAAGAAUAAGGAUCGGCUAACUCCGUGCCAGCCGCCGCGGUAA
RNAcentral lists this ribosomal RNA (502 nucleotides) under uncultured bacterium. Its description in RNAcentral is "partial 16S ribosomal RNA". It matches the Rfam family "Bacterial small subunit ribosomal RNA", at positions 28 to 523 of the family's 1533-position model. The record is from RNAcentral.